GAGAGACCAGGGGAGCUAAGUGAUUGAUGGAGCUUCCGGAAGUCUUGGCGGCUGUACCAGCGCUAAUGUUCCUCCUUUUCCUGAGGUGGAGUGGGCCGAAGAGGUGGUCAGGUAUUCUAAUCACAGAAUUACUGGAGCAUCAAGAAGUGCCUGCAUGCUUGGAAGGGCUUCCAGGCAGAUGAACACACCUCAGCACCGGGUGGCAUUUUCCCAGGGUGCAACCCGGACCGGCUCUGGGUCACACUGACAAGGACAACAGGGUUAACAAUUUCCAGAGACAGCCCGUACAUAGAAGGAAUGUUUACUGAAAAAAAUGAAGAGGGGUCAGGGCAAGGCGAGGAGCAAGAAGCACCCCCAAGGAAACAGAGAAGACCAGUACAACUGUACCUCUUUGCCAGCUGCACCAUCCGUACCAGUCUCCUGGGGUGGAAGUGUCCAGCACAGAGACUGCCACACUGCAAGACGAAGGGGCUGGACACACGGAAGAGAGAGGCGGAACCCUGCACCCCCUCAACCUCAGCCCUACUGAGUCUCCAAUGGGGCCACGCUUCUGAGUGCACCUCCCCGUGUCAUCUGUAAUGUGAGGGGGAACCAGGCUUGAUAUGGCAUUCCCAAUCCAGGGC
Molecule: long non-coding RNA, 623 nt
Filed under: Homo sapiens (human)
Lineage: Eukaryota; Metazoa; Chordata; Mammalia; Primates; Hominidae
Description: PEF1 and COL16A1 antisense RNA 1
Source: RNAcentral